GCGAGUGGAUGGGCAGUCGGUGGUGCGUCUCGAGGCGGUGGAUGGGCACACCUACGUAUUUCUCGAGAAGUCAGCGUGAAUACGGGGAUAUUUACUGCUGUAGUACUGAUGGUUAAAUAUUUUAGGCCAAUAUAAAUCGUAGACAGUCUGGGAUAGGGAAAGAGAAUAAGGAGCAGUUUCCGGGACAAAGAGAAAAGAGAAGAGGAAGAAACUGGAACAAGCGGUUCUGAUAUACAAGAGUCUUAUGCUGAGAUCAUCGAAAACAUGAAAUUUGUAUGUGAAGGGAAAUCUGUCAUCAAUAAUCUUGCAAGUAGAGAGCAGAUCAGUGUCCCAGGCUAGAAGAGAUGGCUUUAAAAAACAAAGAGGAUUCAGUAUCUAGAAGAGAGACUCCACACAGCAAGUGUUGGAAUCCCACUCAUAUAGAUUUUCACACAAGGAGGGGAAUGACUCAAGUUUUCAGGCCAAUACAGCGCAUGAUGGAAAGAAUCUGGAGCCAUUAUCUCUGAUAUACAGAGUCAUCCUUUAUCAGAUCACUGAAAACAAGAUAUUUAUAUGAAGGCACGGUUUGUGAUGAGAUCCUUUUCUGUUGAUUUUGAUUUCUUUGUUCAUGUUUCAGUCUCUUGUCAAGGUUUGAUUCCUCUUUUAUUUAGUAUAGGACAAUUCUUGUAUUGUAUUGUAUUGUUUUGUUUUGUAUCUGUAUUGUAUUGUGUUCCGUAUCUGGUUUUUUUUUGUUAAGCGUGCAGGCUUUAAAAAGGGAGUAGUAUUGCUGAACGCUUGUGUUUAUCUUUUGCAUGUUUUUUUUUUGAACUCUUUGCAUUCACUUUGAAUUUGAUUUUCUUUCUUGACAAGAGAGAACCUCAUUUCCUUAUUGUUGAUUUUUGUUUCUUUGUUAUCCAUAUAUCGUCUUAGAUAUUACAAUUUUCUAUCAUGUUUUUUUUACUUUACUUAAGAUGGACUCAGCAAACUGUUUUUGUUUGAUAACUGAUUUGAUUUUCUUAACCACCACAGAAUUCAACAAACUCUUCAUGAAACUUCUUUCCAAAACUAAACAGUCUACAGAAUCUGAAUUUGAAAUGUUAAAAGUGAUCCAUUACACAAAAUUGCAUUUCAAUUAAACAGCUGUUGAACUGGCUUGGUACUGUGCAGCUGUUUGUGAAUCCGCUUGGUGUUUUGCCUCCGGUUGUUUUAGUUGUCACUACUGAAAAUGCAAGUAUAAAUUAUAAUUAGGUAAACCAAAUUGUUUUCGACUAUUUAAAAAAAAAAUUUGAACUUACUGUUUAAAGCUGAGAUCAAUGUUUUCUUCAACUUAAAAGUUGAAUAAGGUAAUCAUCAUCAUCUGGAAUGUGCUGCUCAGAAUUUCCUCCAAAGUUUCUAAUGAGAUUUUCCGACCCUGCAUCAAAUUUUUAGCAAGCUAGUUAGUACACUUUGUAAAUAUUUUGGUGCUGCUUGGUAUCACAUGUUGUAUCCUUAGGGUUUAUGUGUCUUUCAUCUGUUUUCAGUUUGAGUUGAUAUUUAGGGUGAACUGACCUCUUCCAAAUAGUCGUUGUAGUGAAGGAUGCAGUGCCGGUAGAAUUUGAAAACUGCCCUUGCAUCCGUUUUGUACUCCCCUUUAAAGCUGUUGUACACUGCCUCUAAUAUCGGUUUGCCACUGAUUAUGUUCUCGAUGUUCAUGAACUUCUGCAUUUCUUCUAGCCUCUUCCAUAUUGUUUUGUCCUCUGUCAUACAUUUUUGUCCAAUCAUGACGAAGGCAUCAUGGACAAAAAGUAUUCUUUCUACUCUGGACAACAGUAUUGGGUGGUAAAACAACUGCUCGAGCUCAGUCCUGUAAUUCAAUAAUUGCAGAUUGAAUUAAUGACAGUUUUAGUUUCAUGUUAGAUUAGGUCUGAGAAUGUGAAAAAAGAAAAAAGAAAAAAAUCUUACUGAUUGCUUGCCCUACUGGCCAGAUGCCUAAAGUGCUCGAACUCAAGCGGGUAUGAUAGGUAUGCUGGAAAUAUGGUCUCAAUCAGUCUGUCAAGGGCUUCAUUAUACGUCUGUUUAGCUUCAGUGGAGGAUUUGUCCAACUGUAUAUAUUUUUAAAAUGCUUCAGAGUCUGCAUUUAUGAUUAUGCUGUCCAAGUUUAGCCCUCCGAAUUGAUGUUGCUUCUGCAUAUUGAUGAAAUUUUUAAUCAAGUCCCUGCAAAAUUUUAAACAUUCUAUAUAUGAACAUCCUUGUUAAUAUGAAUGAUUGACAUGUGAUAGUCAGCAAUGUAUGAACAUCCUUGUGAAUUUGAAUGCACAGUGCACACAUUUCUGAACUCUAAACCCGCAAUGAAUUAAUCCGAAUCUUUUUGUGCAUGAUUUAACUGUGGAAACUUUUUGUUCAUGAUUCAACUGUGGAAGCUUGGUUUUGUGUAUAAGAAUGUCCUUAUUAAUCUGAAUGCACAGUUCAAAUAAUUCUGAACUCUAUAUCCUCAAUGAAUUAAUCUGAAGCUUUUUGUGCAUGAUUCAACUGUGGAAGCUUUUUGUGCGUGAUUCAACUUUGUAAGCAGGGUUUGGUGUAUAUGAAUGUCCUUAUUAAUCUAAAUGUACAGUACACAUUUCUCAUAUCUGGAAAUUUGAAAUAUUAGCAAGUCGUAGUCUGCUAUAUAUGAAUAUCCUAAUCUGAAUACUUAGCAGACGCAUUUCUAUUUCCUAAACCCUCAUGAGAUCCGAUCCCUACGCGUUGAGGGAAUAGGAAAUAGAAAUGUGUCUGCUAAGUAUUCAGAUUAGGAUAUUCAUAUAUAGCAGACUACGACUUGCUAAUAUUUCAAAUUUCCAGAUAUGAGAAAUGUGUACUGUACAUUUAGAUUAAUAAGGACAUUCAUAUACACCAAACCCUGCUUACAAAGUUGAAUCACGCACAAAAAUCUUCCACAGUUGAAUCAUGCACAAAAAGCUUCAGAUUAAUUUAUCGAGGAUAUAGAGUUCAGAAAUAUUUGAACUGUGCAUUCAGAUUAAUAAGGACAUUCUUAUACACAAAACCAAGCUUCCACAGUUGAAUCAUGAACAAAAAGCUUCCACAGUUAAAUCAUGCACAAAAAGAUUCGGAUUAAUUCAUUGCGGGUUUAGAGUUCAGAAAUGUGUGCACUGUGCAUUCAAAUUCACAAGGAUGUUCAUACAUUGCUGACUACCACAUGUCAAUCAUUCAUAUUAACAAGGAUGUUCAUAUAUAGCAUGUUUAAAAUUUUGCAGGGACUUGAUUAAAAAUUCCAUCAAUAUGCAGAAGCAACAUCAAUUCGGAGUGCUAAACUUGACUCUGAAGCAUUUUUAAAAUACAUACAGUUGGACCAAUCCUCCACUGAAGCUAAACAGACGUAUAAUGAAGCCCUUGACAGACUGAUUGAGACCAUAUUUCCAGCAGACCUAUCAUACCCGCUUGAGUUCGAGCACUUUAAGCAUCUGGCCAGUAGGGCAAGCAAUCAGUAAGAUUUUUUUCUUUUUUCUUUUUUCACAUUCUCAGACCUAAUCUAACAUGAAACUAAAACUGUCAUUAAUUCAAUCUGCAAUUAUUGAAUUACAGGACUGAGCUCGAGCAGUUGUUUUACCACCCAAUACUGCUGUCCAGAGUAGAAAGAAUACUUUUUGUCCAUCAUGCCUUCGUCAUGAUUGGACAAAAAUGUAUGACAGAGGACAAAACAAUAUGGAAGAGGCUAGAAGAAAUGCAGAAGUUCAUGAACAUCGAGAACAUAAUCAGUGGCAAACCGAUAUUAGAGGCAGCGUACAACAGCCGGGAGUACAAAACGGAUGCAAGGGCAGCUUUCAAAUUCUACCGGCACUGCAUCCUUCACUACAACGACUAUUUGGAAGAGGUCAGUUCACCCUAAAUAUCAACUCAAACUGAAAACAGAUGAAAGACACAUAAACCCUAAGGAUACAACAUGUGAUACCAAGCAGCACCAAAAUAUUUACAAAGUGUACUAACUAGCUUGCUAAAAAUUUGAUGCAGGGUCGGAAAAUCUCAUUAGAAACUUUGGAGGAAAUUUUGAGCAGCACAUUCCAGAUGAUGAUGAUUACCUUAUUCAACUUUUAAGUUGAAGAGAACAUUGAUCUCAGCUUUAAACUGUAAGUUCAAAUUUUUUUUUUUAAAUAGUCGAAAACAAUUUGGUUUACCUAAUUAUAAUUUAUACUUGCAUUUUCAGUAGUGACAACUAAAACAACCAGGGGCAAAACACCAAGCGGGUUCACAAACAGCUGCACAGUACCAAGCCAGUUCAACAGCUGUUUAAUUGAAAUGCAAUUUUGUGUAAUGGAUCACUUUUAACAUUUCAAAUUCUGUAGACUGUUUAGUUUUGGAAAGAAGUUUCAUGAAGAGUUUGUUGAAUUCUGUGGUGGUUAAGAAAAUCAAAUCAGUUAUCAAACAAAAACAGUUUGCUGAGUCCAUCUUAUGUAAAGUAAAAAAAGAAAAUUGUAAUAUCUAAGACGAUAUAUGGAUAACAAAUCAACAUUAAGGAAAUGAGGUUCUCUCUUGUCAAGAAAGAAAAUCAAAUUCAAAGUGAAUGCAAAGAGUUCAAAAAAAAAACAUGCAAAAGAUAAACACAAGUGUUCAGCAAUACUUAGUUAAGAGUAUAUAUAUGGUUUUGAGAAAUUUUCCACCUGUGUGACCCCCACAUUGGCUCGCUCGGCGCGCAAUAGGACUUUGCCCUUGGAAAACCCUAAACGGCGCUUCCCCUAAACUUUUCCAAUCGCGGCCGCACCAAGCCCCUUCAACCAAUCGGCCAUGUAUCGCCUUGAUUCUUCUGAUUCUAAGGAGACCGAUUCGCGUAUCGUCAAGUCGACUUCCAACACCCAUGAGAUCCGAUCCCUACGCGUCGAGGGCUUGCUGCCAGAGAUGGAUGCGAAAUAUCUCUAUGGCUGCUUCAGUGAAUAUCUCUAUCUGUUGUAGCUGCCACUGUUAUUCAUGGUAAUGUGAGAACUGGUUUUGUUGAGUUUACUUCUCGGAGCUGGGCUGAGAUGAUCUUGAAGUCCUACAAUGGUCUCGGGAUGCCAAACUACGCUCAGAUAUACCGCCUGAAAUGGGAUAUGGAUGCUACCGGUAUGAUGUGGCGCUGGGAUUAUGCUUACGAGCGUUGUUCGUACUUUGGUUUUAAUGAUGCAGGUGAAGAAUUGAACGCCAACAAAGCGCUCUUGAGAUACAAGCACUUGAUACCUGCUGUAAAUGAAAAACCAGCUGCUGGUGGUGGUCAGCAACAUCAGGAAGGCGUGUCUGGUUUAACAUAUGAGAUAGUUGAAGAGAUUCUCUACAACAACUGGUUAGGUAAUAGGUUUCUGUAUCUAUGUAUGGAGGAAUUGUGUAAGGAAAAAGACGGUUGUUACGUUAUCCGCACCCUCAAGUUGUCGAACUUAUUGUCAUGCUCUUGCAAGUUUGACGAAAAGAUUGGGAGUAUAAUCACCUGCCGCUAUUGCGCCGACUGCAACGUGCCAUUUGAAUUGCAAAAGCAGGCUUGGCUAUGCACCAAGGACUUCGGCAACCGGAAAAAAGUCCGAGGCUUAUGGGAUGCACUUCUUGUUUCAGCGGAAUUAUGUUCGCCGGUGGCCUGGACCAGUCACCAGAUCAAACUUGAGCUCCUUACUUUGUGCCGAGUCAAAAAUGUUAUUAUUUUCAGCCGAGAGAUAUUUACCACUAUAAUCCCGAGUGGAUAAGGCUUCCGUACUAUCUCAAAAGCGGGAAACAGGGGCCCCUGCUGGUUAACGUUGAUGGAAGUCUCUGUUGUCUCUCUGGUUUACUCGUUGGUCUGCAAGUCGCUCAUCCUACUUUUGUGGUGUUCGAUCCCUUUGACGAGAGAUGGGUGCCUCUGCCGGAUCCUCCUUUUUACAGACCCGAAGCACUGAAUUACAAACACGGUGACCCUAGGCCUGGUACACACUUGUCUUAUGCAAUCAUGGGCACCAAGCUUUUGGUCUCGAGCAAGAUCCCUGGUUCAGGUUCCUCCCCUCACUUUCCCGUUUGUUGCUUUGACGUUAAGGAAAAAAAGUGGACAGAGGUCACUACCUUGUUCAAUGGUAAGCCUUUUCCCUUCCGACACAGGGCUUUAGUGGUCGACUUGGAGGAUGGUACCCAUGAUAAGGUCAUGUUUUACUUCAAUAAUUAUUUUGCUAUAAGAGUCUGCCGAUUAGUAGUUAAUGAGGAUGAUGGUAGUAUUAAGAACUCACCGCACCAAUCUCUGGGGAUUGAUACCCUCAUGACUAGCUUAUUGGAAAUUACCAUUCAAAAUCAGUCAAUGGUGAAAAUGUCGUGGGAUUUUGUUGAUCUAGGAAAUAAAAAAGUCUGCUUUGUUUUGUCCUCGAGCCUCCCGAAAGGCAGAGACGACGAGAGUUUCUGUCAUCGCCAGACCUUGCGUCUUCUUUUCUUGGUAAUUCAAUUUCAAGUUUUGGAAUCAGGAGAUUUCUCCUUCAAGUUCCUGGCUACUCGCACCUUUGAAUACCAGGGCCAUUUCCCUCGCAUCUGGCACCCCAAUCUGCAGGGUUGCUUUCUGCUUUAACUCGCUCCAUCCAUUGGUCUGGAGGUGCGGCUGAGAAGAAUCAGGUUGUGAAUUUUUCUUAUGAAAUGUACUUCAGUUCAGUCUGGCUGGGAGUAUUGGUUAUGCAUAUUCUUAAGAAAGUUCUUCGAGAUGAUGCAGAAUCACAGGUUGUGAAUUUUUCGUAUGAAAUGUACUUCAGUUCAGUCUGGCUGGCAGUAUUGGUUAUGCAUUUUCUUAAGAAAAUCUUAGAGAUGAUGAGGAGCCUGUAAUUUGUUUUAAGACCAUUUGAUUUUCUAUGCAAUGAUUAUCUGUUCCUUUUGUUU
Rosa rugosa (rugosa rose) is the source of this 6798-nucleotide RNA transcript. RefSeq lists it as uncharacterized. The record is from RefSeq and is a predicted model, not a curated record. Lineage: Eukaryota; Viridiplantae; Streptophyta; Magnoliopsida; Rosales; Rosaceae. The transcript has 4 exons.